GAUGAACGCUGGCGGCGUGCCUAACACAUGCAAGUCGAGCGAGAAAUUAAUUAAGGAAUCUUCGGAAGAAUUAAUUAAUGGAAAGCGGCGGACGGGUGAGUAACGCGUGGGCAACCUGCCUUUCACAGAGGGAUAGCCAAAGGAAACUUUGAUUAAAAACCUCAUAAUGCUAAUUUACUGCAUAAUAGAUUAGCCAAAGAUUUAUCGGUGAAAGAUGGGCCCGCGUCUGAUUAGCUAGUUGGUGAGGUAACGGCUCACCAAGGCAACGAUCAGUAGCCGACCUGAGAGGGUGAUCGGCCACAUUGGAACUGAGACACGGUCCAA
Molecule: ribosomal RNA, 324 nt
Filed under: uncultured bacterium
Lineage: Bacteria
Description: bacterial SSU rRNA
Rfam family: Bacterial small subunit ribosomal RNA
Source: RNAcentral